RNAcentral lists this ribosomal RNA (446 nucleotides) under uncultured Lactobacillus sp. Its description in RNAcentral is "bacterial SSU rRNA". It matches the Rfam family "Bacterial small subunit ribosomal RNA", at positions 78 to 508 of the family's 1533-position model. Lineage: Bacteria; Bacillati; Bacillota; Bacilli; Lactobacillales; Lactobacillaceae. The record is from RNAcentral.
GGAAGUCAGAAGCGCGAGCGGCGGAUGGGUGAGUAACACGUGGGCAACCUGCCCUUUAGCUUGGGAUACCACUUGGAAACAGGUGCUAAUACCAAAUAAGCAGCACGAGCGCAUGCUCGAGCUGAGAAAGGCGGCUUUCGAGCUGUCACUAAAGGAUGGGCCCGCGGUGCAUUAGCUAGUUGGUAAGGUAACGGCUUACCAAGGCGAUGAUGCAUAGCCGAGUUGAGAGACUGACCGGCCACAUUGGGACUGAGACACGGCCCAAACUCCUACGGGAGGCAGCAGUAGGGAAUCUUCCACAAUGGACGCAAGUCUGAUGGAGCAACGCCGCGUGAGUGAAGAAGGUUUUCGGAUCGUAAAGCUCUGUUGUUGGUGAAGAAGGACAAGGGUAGUAACUGAUUCUUGUUUGACGGUAAUCAACCAGAAAGUCACGGCUAACUACGUGC